UGAGGCAGUUUGGUCAGCGAGUGUA
Molecule: non-coding RNA, 25 nt
Filed under: Mus musculus (house mouse)
Lineage: Eukaryota; Metazoa; Chordata; Mammalia; Rodentia; Muridae
Source: RNAcentral